ACCAGCACGGUGGUGCAUGCCUGUAGUCCCAGCUACUUGGGAGGCUGAGGUAGAAGGAUCAAUUGAGCCCAGGAGUUCUGGGCUGCAGUGUGCUAUGCUGCUCAGUGUCCACACUAAGUUCAGCAUCAAUAUGGUGACCUCCCGGGAGCAGGGGACCAUAGGUUGCCUAAGGAGGGGUGAACCAGCCCAGGUCGGAAAUGGAGCAGGUCAAAACUCCCGUGCUGAUCAGUAGUGGGAUCACAUCUGUGAAUAGCCACUACACUCCAGCCUGGGCAACAUAGUGAGACCCCAUCUCU
This 296-nucleotide signal recognition particle RNA is filed under the name Cebus imitator (Panamanian white-faced capuchin). Its description in RNAcentral is "Metazoan signal recognition particle RNA (ENSCCAG00000008397.1)". It matches the Rfam family "Metazoan signal recognition particle RNA". From Rfam's summary of the family: The signal recognition particle (SRP) is a universally conserved ribonucleoprotein. It is involved in the co-translational targeting of proteins to membranes. The eukaryotic SRP consists of a 300-nucleotide 7S RNA and six proteins: SRPs 72, 68, 54, 19, 14, and 9. The record is from RNAcentral. Lineage: Eukaryota; Metazoa; Chordata; Mammalia; Primates; Cebidae.